Molecule: ribosomal RNA, 497 nt
Filed under: uncultured bacterium
Lineage: Bacteria
Description: partial 16S ribosomal RNA
Rfam family: Bacterial small subunit ribosomal RNA
Source: RNAcentral
GAUGAACGCUGGCGGCGUGCCUAAUACAUGCAAGUCGAGCGAACGGACGAGAAGCUUGCUUCUCUGAUGUUAGCGGCGGACGGGUGAGUAACACGUGGAUAACCUACCUAUAAGACUGGGAUAACUUCGGGAAACCGGAGCUAAUACCGGAUGAUAUUUUGAACCGCAUGGUUCAAAAGUGAAAGACGGUCUUGCUGUCACUUAUAGAUGGAUCCGCGCUGCAUUAGCUAGUUGGUAAGGUAACGGCUUACCAAGGCAACGAUGCAUAGCCGACGUGAGAGGGUGGUCGGCCACACUGGAACUGAGACGCGGUCCAGGCUCCUACGGGAGGCAGCAGUAGGGAAUCUUCCGCAAUGGGCGAAAGCCUGACGGAGCAACGCCGCGUGAGUGAUGAAGGUCUUCGGAUCGUAAAACUCUGUUAUUAGGGAAGAACAUAUGUGUAAGUAACUGUGCACAGCUUGACGGUACCUAAUCAGAAAGCCACGGCUAACUACGUG